ACCGGCGGCUCGAGUGGUAGCCACUAUUAUUGGGCUUAAAGCGUUCGUAGCUGGCUUGAUAAGUCUCUGGGGAAAUCUUACAGCUCAACUGGAAGGCGUCCUAGGGAUACUGGCAGGCUAGGGACCGGAAGAGGUGAGAGGUACUCCAGGGGUAGGAGUGAAAUCCUGUAAUCCUUGGGGGACCACCUGUGGCGAAGGCGUCUCACCAGGACGGCUCCGACAGUGAGGAACGAAAGCUGGGGGAGCAAACCG
RNAcentral lists this ribosomal RNA (252 nucleotides) under uncultured prokaryote. Its description in RNAcentral is "partial 16S rRNA". It matches the Rfam family "Archaeal small subunit ribosomal RNA", at positions 475 to 726 of the family's 1478-position model. The record is from RNAcentral.